AAGCGAUAAAAAUUUCUUUGUGCUUCCCCCGACAGACAACCGAUUUUCGUCGACUGACGAUACCUUUCCUCUCCUGCAAGUUCAAGCAGUAGACGUAAGCUUUUACUUUAAACACCCAUGUAGAUAAAGACAAACCCAUACAUCAUAUGAACAGUUUAACAUAAAGCAAAAAGCACUUGACCAAUCAAAAAAAUAAAAACUAACAAUCAAACGGAGGAUGAAGUACAGAGAAUCCACUAGGCAGAACUAGAGUGCAAGAAUAACACAUCCAACAAUAGGUUGCAUCUAAAUGACAAAUCUGAUCCAGAGUCAAGGAAAAAUGAAGCGCAUUUCCAAGCAAAACAACUGUGGAUAAAGUGUAUUAAUAUGUUUGGAGUGGGGACUAGGGAAAGAAGUAGGCAAACUAGGAUCAAUGAAUCUUCCAAUAGACCGAGAAGAAAGAUUGAAGACCACAUUAAGUAGGUGUCAGGGGCAAAAGAACAUAGCUCUAGAAGGCUAGACAGCAAUUUUUAGUGCGAGAUUUGAAAAACUUACAACAGUAUAGCAUUUGCACGGUAAGUAUAGACUUAAAUAUUGGACAAGAAUUCUACGGCUUAUCCUCAAGCACAGCCAAAUGGUGCAGAAAAAUAGAAAGUGGCACUCUAUUAUAGCUAAUCAAGUUUUCUUAUAGCAUUGGUCCCCAACAAAUACCAGCACAGUUUCCUGAAAAUAAAUAAUUUGAUGGCAUAUGCUAAUGCUUGAAUGAAAUGUCAACUUUUAACACCCAAUAGCUAAAUAUAAGACGAUACUUGAAUUCAUUGGGUCUUUUAAACUGAAAGAAGAUGCACAAUCUAAAUUGUUUAUACUAUAUCUGCCAAAGUUUGAAACUUGAUCACACCCUUCCCCUCUGGGAGUUCAGGGCAAGAAUAAUGCAUAAUCAUUUCCUUCAACGUGUGCUUUGUGCUUUUAACAUCAUUCUCCCAUAAGAUACU
This 971-nucleotide unclassified non-coding RNA is filed under the name Hevea brasiliensis (rubber tree). The record is from RNAcentral. Lineage: Eukaryota; Viridiplantae; Streptophyta; Magnoliopsida; Malpighiales; Euphorbiaceae.